Molecule: long non-coding RNA, 5303 nt
Organism: Felis catus (domestic cat)
Lineage: Eukaryota; Metazoa; Chordata; Mammalia; Carnivora; Felidae
Exons: 3
Source: RefSeq, a predicted model, not a curated record
CUGACUGAGCCACCCAGGGGCCCCAAUUCUGUUUUGAAUUUUUUGAGGCACCACCAUACACAGAGGAUUUUAAAAUAUAAAUUUUGUCACGCCCUUGCUCAACACCCUCUGUUCACUUCUUGUUACUCUUAGAAUAAUAUCAAAGACCCUACUAUGGCCCACAGGGCCUGAUAAAACCAGCCCGCGGCCGCCUCACCAGCCUCACAUCCUGCCACUCGUCUCCCUCCCUCUGCUGUGGCCAAUUCCAGCGUCUCGCUGCUCCUUGUCACCCCAGCCAUGGCCCCACGGCAGGGAUUUAGCUCUUGUCAUUCUCUGCCUCCGGUGCCCUUACCUGGUGACUGACAUGGCUCAUGCCCUUGCCUCAUUCAGGUCUCAGUUCAGAUGUCCCCUCCUUCUGACCCCCCAAUUUCAAAUAGCACCCCCAUCAUCUCUAUAUCCUUAUUUUUAAUGUGCCAUUUCAUCUCUAUCUGACAAGCAGGGAAUUUAUAUUACUGGCACUCACGUAUGAUACUAACGACUCGCCUCGUACUGUUCCAAACACUUUACGUAGACUGACACGACUGACCUUAACGGCAGCCUUACGAAUUAGGUAUUUUUCUUCUUCUUCUUAUCAUCAUCAUCAUCAUCAUCAUCAUCAUCAUCAGUAUCUGCAUUUUACAGAUGAGAAAACUGAGACACCACGGGUUAAAUAACUUCCCUAAGGUUCUACAGCUAGUAAUUGACAGAGAUGGGCUCAAACCAAGGCAGCUGGGGUCCAGAAUCCACUCUACUGUACUGGGGAAACUACGUACGUGUCAUGCAUGUGUUUAUUUAUUGUCUGUCUUCUCCCAUCAGUGUAACCUCCACCGGGAUAGGCACCUUGUUUAGUUCACUGUUCUCCAAGGGCUUAGAAGAACAUCUGGCACGUUUGCAAUAAAAAUGCAUUGAAUGAAAGAGUGAGUGGGUUCUUUGGGUUAGGCAGACACUGACCCUUGUCGGUGCUUUCCUGAUCCGAAGACUUGUGUGGGUGGAAUUUUAUGACGGUGUGGGUCUGAUUUUUAAAGUAUAUACAAGGACGCAAGCCCUCCGUUGUUUCUUCCCACUGAUUUGGUUAUGGCUGAAAAGUCCAGCUAGGCAGACAGAGCAGGUAGAGACACUAGACGCCCAAUAAUCCUUUAUUCAGUGAAUGGGUUGUGAGCUUUUUGCGGAUAGAGACUAGUGUCUGUUUGAUCCCUCUAUCCCUCGCAGCCCUCGGCCCGCUGCUGGGCUGCCCUACCUCUGUUGCUGUUCUGGAAGAGAAGACUGCCGAGCGGACCUAGACUACUCUGUGUGGCAGUGUUUGGCGCACUUGUUUGCCCAGAAGUAGCUCCAAGGAGACGAGUGUGCAAGUUCCCGGCCAAAGACGACGCGGAGGGGAUGUGAGUUGCAGCGUCUUCUCUUUUCUUUUGAUCCUCCACAUUAAACACAUUCCUCUUCAUAGGAUUUAGUGUCAGCUUGUUUGGGACGCAGAAAGGAGUUUCUAAAACAGGGCUUUAGAAAAUUCCCAUGAUUUCCUUCGUCCUUCACCUAAAGAGCUUCCAUCGUGUAAAGCCUACCCCCCUCUCCUUGGCUUUUGGAAGAGCCAGGACUUCAGAGGUCUGCCUGGUGUUUUGCACAGAGAAACUGCUCUGUAAACAAAUGCUGAAUGAAUGAAUGAAUGAAUGAGUGAAUGAAUUGUUCUCCUUAGAAGUAGCUACGAGGAACCCAGGUCCACAACUGGCUGGCUUUUGACGGGGAUCCACACUUGUGCUUUGACUUAGUUUUUCUCUCUAGUUUCAGAGACACUUAGGAGAGUCCUUCCAGUACCUUUUUCCAUCAGAUCGUCAUCGAAAUGUAGGUCAGAAGUAAAGAACACGAGCGUCUAUUGAAGAGUGGCAUCAAUGCAUUAAAAGGUACCCUGGUGGCCUUAAAGAUUUAAUGCAGCUUUUUAAAAUGGCUAAUUUAUACACUGGGCUGGUCCGGCUCACCCUGGCACACUAGAUCACAUUAUACAGAAAAGUAGAUGGAACACACAUAUAAUAGGCGGUAGCUGGGCUCAGUUAUGACCUUAUUUUCACUGAUAAAGACAAAUCUCAUAAUUCACUGGUAGCAGUCAGUCUUUUUUCUUUCCCUGGACUCAUGAGGAUACAAGUCACGUCCACUGAGCCUGCUCUGUGGAUGACAAGGAAACUCUGGCAGCCAAUCAUCGCAAAGGUGAUUCAUUCAUUUGCAUUCAGAUAUCCUGUUGGUUAAAAAGCAAUAAAAAUGUUUGGGGCUUUUUUUCUCCCCCCACACUAUAAAAAGUGGCUUACUGGUAAAAUAUACGCCUUCACUCAUCUUGCAGAGCUGCUAUAAAAAAUAACAUUUGGCAGUGGGAAGUGGGACUUUGCUUGAGGAACUAAUGUGUACAGAUAAUAUUUAUACAUUUCUUAGAUGGCCAUGGACACUUGUCAAGGCUUUCGUGUUCCAAAGACGCAUACGGAUAAAAUUUGCUGUGGUGUGGGUCUUGAUUGUUAAAGAGUACACAUGGAUUUCUAAAGUGCAAGGUUGCAGAAUGAAGUGGUAAGAGAAACGAGGGGCCUGGAGCAGCGGGGGUGGCGGGUGACGUUAGGCAAAGUACUGAAUCUGACUCUCACGCCAGUCGUGAGAAACGCCAUGCUUUCUUGGCUUCACGCUUUCCCUGCCUGCGUUCGUUCCCUCUCAGAUCGGCUUGCCCACGCCAGCUUCCACUUUCAGCCCUGUUCUGGGAGCCCUGACUUUGGCCAGAGAGGCCAGUUGAGGGCCAAGCAACCCGGUCGGGGCCUCAGAACGCUAGGCUGUUUCCAGGAGACGCGAAAUGGCUCAAGGAAAACCAAGAGGCAGCGUCAGGGGAGUGGAGGAUGGAGGGAUCCAGAAUUGCUGAAGCCUGGGUGCCCUGCUGGGGCAGAAAUCCAGUAGGGAGCCUGGAUGUUUAUUUCCAAAGCCGGGGCUGCAUCCUGCGUUUUGCUCUGCGCUGUGCUGAGUACAAUGUUGGAUAAAUGUUAACAACAGCAGCCAUAACGAUGGCAAUGGCAGCCGUGGUCACUCCACCUCCUGCAUGCCAAGGGAAUUUGAGAGAUUUCGCCAUUUCUUGUGAUGGGCGUCGGUGUACCCAGGAUCCCGGCCCCCUGGUAUUUUCCUGUUCUCCCGUCUGUUUGGAAAGACCCUGGGGAGGUAGGAAAGAGGGCCCAGAGACUAGUGCUUUCUGCACAUCCAUCUUCAGAACAGUCACUCCGAGAAUGAGCAAAUGCCCUUCAUGUGUCUUGUCUGCCAAUUAGACCCCUCUGUCCGCCGAGACCCUUUCAAAAAACAAUAAUGAAACCUUCAUUUUAAUUAUUCUCUUUCUUGGUCCCACUUCAGGACUAUGCCUUUUAAAUAAGUUACACCAGAGUUUCUUCCUUCUCAUCUCGCUCCUAAUUAAGGACGGUGGGGGGUAUCCUUUGGUCUUAUUUUCUUAUAAUUUUAAUUACACCGAUCUAGGCUUAAAACAGGACCCAUUUAAGUGCUGAGAAGAUAUGUAUUUUCUGGUUCAGUGAGUUUUUUCCUCCCACGCCUCUUCGAAGAGGACAUAGUCGAGAAACGGAGCUUCUCCGAGCACCAAAUCUCGCUAAGCCUGCCUUGCCCUGGACGAAGGACCGGGAGCCCUGGAGGGGACCCCAGCUGCUGCAGGAGGGCCUCGUAUCUUCAGGAGGACUGACAUCUUACCAUAAGGAGCAGCCAACGUGAUGAAAAGUCAGAGUGCGGAUGACAGCCCCAGGAAAUACCCCAAGGGAGCGCAGGGGUGUCUCUCGCUAAACAGCUGAAUGGUCUGCGAGUUUCUCUUCCCUGCCCUCCACAGCACUUGGCCUGGUCAUGCUUAGAAGGGCGGUCAUCAUGCCGUUUCUCUUCCUCCUCUUCCUUCCAGAUCCUGGUCUCGAGCAUGGCCUUGACUUCCAUGAGGAGUACUGCCACUCUGCUUCCUAGAGUCCACAUGAUUCAGUGGUGAGCUCCUUGGGAAGGGACUAAACGGGAUUCUUUUUCCCGAGUUUUUGCAGUGUCCAGCGCUGGACCAGGCAUGCAAUGCCUUGCCAAGGAGGUGAGGGUAUGAAGAUGAAUGGUAUAUGGUUCCUGUCUUCAUGAUCUCGACAUCUGGUGUGGGAAGCAGACGUUGUAACAGAUAAGUGCAGUGCGCGGUGGUUAGUGAAAGAGAGGCCUGGGUACAGGGUUCCAGGAAACCCAGAGGAAGGGGGUUCAGUCCAGCCCGGGGGGCUUCAAGGAAGAUUUCUGAUAGGACAACAUGCCCAAGCUGUCUUGCUGGAUGAGUAAGAGGAAAGCUGGAAGGGUGCUCCAAACAGAGGAGAUUAUCACUAGUCAAGACAGGGGUAUGACAUCUCAUUCGCUGAUGCUUCUCAGAAACAUUCUUGGUGGCCUACUGUGUGCCAGACAUGUGGCAGCAAACCGAACGGAAGCCCCUUCCCUCGCUCGUGUUCCAGUAGACACAGGGCCUGCAAACCUGCAGCAUCGCUGGAGAACCAAGAGCAGAGCGGGGAGCGGUGGCAGAAGAGACUGAACAGCAGGCUGGCGCUUGGGUUUAUGCGAGAAUUGAGUUGGUUCCCCACCUACUUCCGCCGAGGACUUGAGGCAUUUAUAAAGAGCUAAGGGUUUGCCAAACGGAGCUGCCACCGGCCAGGAGUCCCAGACCCCCUCCUGAGGUGGGCGGUUCUUCUGCUUCCUCCAAAGUCUCUUGGUCACUGCAGGGAACUGACUGCUAACAGGGCUGGAGAAGCGAUGCUGCCCCCCGGGACCCUGGGCACUCCUCGAAAUCCCCUUGGGUUGACUCAGUAAUUUGGGUUGUGGCGCACGGCGGGGAGAGCCUGGCACACACGGUGAGAACAUUGUAAAUGCCCGUUGGAUGAAAACAUGAGGGAUUGGACGUUAUCUGUAAAACGAAGGGGUGGCCAAUCCCUUGGAGCCUUGACUUGAGUCUAAGAAUGAGUAACGGUAGGAGCUUCCCGGAAAGUAGGGAUGGCCUCCUCAACCAACACUUCACUCCACUCAAGUCAAAGGAUAAAUAGCCAAGAAGAAAAGCUGUGUGCCAUCCAUCCAUCCAACAUUAGGCCGGGCGCUGUCUGAAACAUUGGCGCCAUUGAAAUGCCUUUAUGAAAGUCACUGUCCGAUGGCGGCAGGUAGACCGGUGAAGAGAUAAUCAGAUGGCAGUGAGAAAAGUACUAACCAAGGCGGGUAGACAGGUAGGGUGAAGGGGCCAAGAAAGACCUUGUCGGGGCGCCUGGGUGGCGCAGUCGGUUAAG